GUUACGAGUCGGCCAACUCCGGCAUUUUCUUCCUUUCCGCACGCCCAAAAGUCUAUCCGUUAACGACAAAUUAUUCUAUUUUGUCGAUUUGUGUUGAUUGUUUUUUCACAUUUUAUUUAUUAAUCGAAUCAACCGAUUGUAAUUCGUACCAACUCGUGUAUAAUAUAGAUAGGAAGAAGUGGUCAUUUUUUGUGUGACGAUGAUGAUAA
This is a long non-coding RNA of Polistes dominula (European paper wasp), 209 nucleotides long. The record is from RefSeq and is a predicted model, not a curated record. Lineage: Eukaryota; Metazoa; Arthropoda; Insecta; Hymenoptera; Vespidae.